GCGGAGGAACGAUGUGGUUUAAUUCGAUGGAUACGCGAGGAACCUUACCCGGGCUUGAACUGCAGGAGAACGAUUCAGAGAUGAUGAGGUCCUUCGGGACUCCUGUGGAGGUGCUGCAUGGUUGUCGUCAGCUCGUGCCGUGAGGUGUCGGCUUAAGUGCCAUAACGAGCGCAACCCCUCUCCGUAGUUGCCAUCGGGUGAUGCCGGGCACUCUGCGGACACUGCCACCGUAAGGUGUGA
This 240-nucleotide ribosomal RNA is filed under the name uncultured bacterium. RNAcentral's name for it is "partial 16S ribosomal RNA". It matches the Rfam family "Bacterial small subunit ribosomal RNA", at positions 931 to 1167 of the family's 1533-position model. The record is from RNAcentral.